Clupea harengus (Atlantic herring) is the source of this 183-nucleotide long non-coding RNA. RefSeq lists it as uncharacterized. The transcript is spliced from 3 exons. NCBI's taxonomy places the organism in Eukaryota, Metazoa, Chordata, Actinopteri, Clupeiformes, Clupeidae. The record is from RefSeq and is a predicted model, not a curated record.
GAAAGGAGGAGGAGGAGAGGGAUGUGGAUGUGGGAGGAGCGGGCAGCCUGCCUGAAAGGAAACUGAAGACCUCCCUGAACAGAACGAGUCCAAAGAAUGACAAAAGAAGCUCAGAUGAACACAGCUUUGGAGGAAACUCAGGAAGUCCGACAUCUGACAGCGCCUUUGAUGUGACAAGUACUG